UCCCUACACUUUGAGAAACUGCUCUGAGAACUGUAAUUCCUAAUGCCCUCAACUAAGCACACCUCUGCAGUGAUGGGAACAGCAGCAGGGAGGAUGGGUGGGCAGUGAAACUCCACUUUGUACCCCAGGAAAACUGUUGAGAGCAGAGGUAAAAGCUGCUACAGAGAGGCGUGCCCUGGAACAGGAAAAUCUGCAGGAAAGGCAGUGGAGGGAACAUUUGGCUCGGGUCCAUUGCAACAAUUAGUGAUAAAUCACUGCUGGGAGCUCGGGUCGCCCGCUGGAAGGCUCCCAGCAGCCAACCAGCAGCAGGGCGGGAGGACACGCCGCACCGUCACGCCUCGUGCUGUCCCCGUUUCCAGUGAUGGGGGAAGCAGGGCUCCGUGUUAGUUCUGCAUAUACGGUGUCGGGGUGAAACAACGUUCCCUUCUGGCAGCACAGAAUCAGCACGCAUCCCAAAUUUCCCUUCUUCCGCUGCACGUGCUGCCCCCAUGGAAAUCAGUGCAAGCCUCACGCAGGCAUACGAGGGCAGG
Molecule: long non-coding RNA, 530 nt
Organism: Gallus gallus (chicken)
Lineage: Eukaryota; Metazoa; Chordata; Aves; Galliformes; Phasianidae
Source: Ensembl